This 254-nucleotide ribosomal RNA is filed under the name uncultured bacterium. Its description in RNAcentral is "partial 16S ribosomal RNA". It matches the Rfam family "Bacterial small subunit ribosomal RNA", at positions 524 to 776 of the family's 1533-position model. The record is from RNAcentral.
GACGUAGGGCGCGAGCGUUGUCCGGAUUUAUUGGGCGUAAAGAGCUCGUAGGCGGUUGGGUAAGUCGGGUGUGAAAACUCCAGCUCAACUUGGAGACGCCACCCGAUACUGCUCUGACUUGAGUUCGGUAGGGGGAGUGGGGAAUUCCUGGUGUAGCGGUGAAAUGCGCGGAUAUCAGGAGGAACACCGAUGGCGAAGGCAGGUCUCUGGGCAUUAACUGACGCUGAGGAGCGAAAGCAUGGGGAGCGAACAGG